This is an RNA transcript of Mugil cephalus (flathead mullet), 4343 nucleotides long. It is a transcript of the gene named zinc finger protein 648, with no coding region annotated. The transcript has 6 exons. Lineage: Eukaryota; Metazoa; Chordata; Actinopteri; Mugiliformes; Mugilidae. The record is from RefSeq and is a predicted model, not a curated record.
CGAGGUCAGCGUAUUUUCGCAUUUAUUCACUGACGCAUUCUUUUUUUUAUUUUGAAUAUGUAAUCAAUACAAGGCUUUCCCAAUUGCUACCAAACAAAUUCCCCUCACAACACAAUACAUAAAAGAAAACUUGGGGAAGCAAACAGCAAAAAAACACACAAAAAAGAAAUGAAUGAAACAUUCAUGUUCUUUUAGAUGUGUGUAUAUAUAUAAAAUAUAAAUCAUCACCAGUAAUAAUUAACAAUCAUUAUUAUACCCGCUAAACCACAUAUUUUUGUACCUUUUCUAAAACUGGUUGAUAUUCGGACUUUGCUUGACUUCCUCACUGAGUUUGCUCAUUAGUUUGACACCAUUAAUGGAUAAGCAGAAACUUCCUAAAUAUUUUUCCGAUGUUUUCUGGUAGUGCCGUUUUUGUUUUUUUGCCUUAUACAUGAUGACUGCUUUUUGGAAAGAUACAAUGUCAGUUUUGAUUGUAUAAAAAGUGGAUUUAUAUUGUAUUUUUUCUGCAGAAUGGGAAGUGAUGGUAUGAAUGAUCCAGUAAUUGUUUCGCUUUGUAAAUGACUGCAAUGCUUCUUGAAACUUUGGACUGUACAUGUUUGAUGUGUGGUUUCAAACUUCAAACUGUCAUCUACUAUAACCUCCAGAAAUGAGUUUUUAUGCACCCUUUCGAUUUCAACCCCAUCGAUUUCUAUUCGCAUGAUUGUGUUUAUUGUGCCUUUGCCAAAUAACAUGAACUCAGUCUUACUUACAUUUAAUUCAAAUUUAUUCCAGUCAAACCAUAUAUAUUUUUUUUUUUUCAGUUCCACAUUUAUAACAAUUUCCACUUGUUUAAUGUUUCCUCCUGUACCAAAAGUAUUUGUGUCAUCUACGAAAUGCCACAAGCAACGUCCAAAUAUCCAGAGCAGUGAUUACCCAACUUUACAAACUGUUACCGUCCUUUCAAAUAUCUCUUUACCCAAUCUAAUUCCAGUCCCAUAACAUUAUGAUGGCUAACUGCAAGUUCUCUAAAAGUCAUCAUAAAUGUCUGAAUCCAGUGUCAUCGAGCAAUGUUUUGCUACACCUAAAAUCUUUCUGAAACUGGCUGCACUACUUACUCGGCAGGUCGCUAUUAUACAAGUGGUGAGGCUAGUGAGUGGAAGGAAAGCUGAGACCGGCUGUGAAGAAGUCAUUGCUGUUGCUGAUUUGCACGCUAGGUGCUGACCCAGAGACGACUGCCGCCAAACUCCGCCCGUUAACUAUUGGACAUCUCCCAUAGAGUUAUACUAAAACCGCGGUCUGGUAUGUUUCCCUGGCAUCCUCUCGACCUGAUGUGUUCGGAAAGAGACCACAGGGUAAGGCGCUCUCUAAAAUGUUUUCGGUCUGUGUUUAAAUAAUUAACACAAUUUCCUAGAUACUUCAUGCAUGUCAUUAAUAUGAAGUAUAAACAAUUAGGGGCCCAAUACUGACCCCUGGGGGACACCACAAGCAAUGUCCUAAUAUCCAGAGCAGUGAUUACCCAACUUUACAAACUGUUACCGUCCUUCCAAAUAACUCUUUACCCAGUCUAACGUCAGUCCCAUUAUCCCACAUGUUUCCAGUUUAUUGAACAGUAUGUUAUGGUUAAUUGUAUCAAAUGCGUUUUUGAGAUGGAUGGAUACUCAUAUUGCAUGUUUUCUGUUGUCUAAUUGCACCUAUGAUUUCCUCAAGUGAUUCCAUUAUUGCCUGUAAUGUUGAUCUGUUAUUCCUAUACCCAUACUGACUUUCAUAUUAUUAUUAUUAUUAUUGUUAUUAUUAGUAGUAGUAUUAGUAGUAUUAUUAUUGUUAUCAUUAUCAAAAUUGCAUCUAUUCUACUGUUAAAAAGAUUUUCCAAUAUUUUUGACAAUUGCGGUAGUAGUGAGGCAGGUCUAGUUAGUAAAGUUGUGUUUGCUUCCAGUUUUGUGCAGCGGAAUGACCUUUUUAAUUUUCAUAGCAUUUUCAUAGGAAAAUUCACAAAUGCACUUGGCGUGCAGUGGUUUUCUCUUAUUUAACUGAGUGAUUAUUUUGUAGGUACAUGUUUUGCAUUUGUAAAUGUUUUUAUUCUUUUGUCUCUUUGUCUUAUUUAAUUACAUUAUUGUGCCAAAUAGUAAGACAGUAGUUUUUCCCAGUAAAUGUUUAGCACAUUUAAUUUUUUUAAUUCAUUCUGUGCCGCGUGGCGUGAACUUAUAAACCCCACGAACAUAUGUACCACACGCACGGCCAACCCGCUACACUAAACAUGGCGGAAGUUCUCAAAGACUAAAUAAUCACAGUUACGUAUAACUACCGCCACACUUUUCGAAGCAAUGGUACUUUAAAAGUCCGUUUCAUAAACGCUUGUUUUGUUAGUCUGGCAUUGUGACGGCUAAGUGCAAGUGCUCUUAAAGUUAUCAUAAAUGACUAAAUCCAGUAUCAUCGAGCAAUGUUUUGCUACACCUAAAUGGGACUUUAAAAAUCUCUCUGAAACUGGCUGCACUACUUACUCAGCAGGUUGUUAUUAUACAAGUGGUGAGGCUAGUGAGUGGAAGGAAAGUUGAGACCGGCUGUGAAGAAGUCAUUGCUGUUGCUGACUUGCACGCUAGGUGCUGACCCAGAGACGAUCCGCCAAACUCCGCCCGUUAACUAUUGGACAUCUCCCACAGAGUUAUACUAAAACCGGGAUCUGGUAUAUUUCCCUGGCAUCCUCUCGACCUGAUGUGUUCGGAAGGAGACCACAGGGUUAUUAUUAUACAAGUGGUGAGGCUAGUGAGUGGAAGGAAAGCCGAGACCCGCUGUGAGGAAGUCACUGCUGUUGCUGACUUGCACGCUUGGUGCUGACCCAGAGACGACUGCAGCCAAACUCCGCCCGUUAACUAUUGGACAUCUCCCAUAGAGUUAUACUAAAACCAGGGGCUGGUAUGUUUCCCUGGCAUCCUCUCGACCUGAUGUGUUCGGAAAGAGACCACAGGGUUAUUAUUAUACAAGUGGUGAGGCUAGUGAGUGGAAGGCAAGCUGAGACCCGCUGUGAAGAAGUCAUUGCUGUUUGCUGAUUUGCACGCUGGGUGCUGACCCAGAGACGACUGCAGCCAAACUCCGCCCGUUAACGACAUUGGACAUCUCCCGGAGAGUUAUACUAAAACCAGGGGCUGGUAUGUUUCCCUGGCAUCCUCUCGACCUGAUGUGUUCGGAAGGAGACCGCAAGGUGUCAGCAUUGCCUGGACCCCACCAACCUGUACAGGGGCCUCAUUGGUCUGCUCUGGGGCCUCUAAACCUCGAGGGAUUAUCUGCUGGCUUUGUCCGUUUUCGCUGAUGUCCACCCCCAGCAUCCUAUUAUCCAUCUUCAAAGGCAAAUACGGACAUCAGCAGGCAUCAAGCCAGCAGCAGCUGAGUGUAGCUCUGCAGGGCCUUUUCAGAAGACUCGCGGCCGAAGCUGCUCCAGUUUCCCGUGAGCAGGUCGUCUCCUCUACAUGGUGGUGCUUCAGCAUUCGUGUCGUCAUUGAAGUCGAUGAGCGUAGGAGCGCCUGAGUCCCAGCUUCCGUCGGAAUGUGAGCCCUGCAUCAACAGCUCUGCGAUAUCUGAUCCAACUAUUUGCUGCCACAUUGGAAAUGUGAGAAUUAAGCUGGCUGACGUUCUCCUGCGCCGACAAGCCUGGAGUGACCCGUAUCAGCUGGCCCGCAGGCCCGAAGCUGACGACCGCAUGAGGGAUCGAAUACUUCAGAGGAGCCGACACCUGAGGCAGAGGUUCACAAUCUGAGGAGAUAUGAAGCAUAAGAAGAAGAGGUGGAUAAGCGCAGAGUGAAGUGGACAUGAAGGAAAGAUGCUUGAGCUGUUCACUCACCUCCAUCAGUGGCGUUAACAAAUUGAGGGACAGAGUCUGUGUGUUCGGCUCCAUUCAUGUACUGACUCAGCUCAUAGCUGCUGGAGGAUAGCCCUGAGUUUUUGGAACUUUCUAACGUCCCAAGGUAAUAAGAGGAAAUCUCUUCAUUGUCUCUGGAGGGAAUGUCCUCGUAGUCAUUGAAGUGAUGCUGGGAGGUGUCUCUCCCUUUGUCGUACCUGAAUGAAUGACAGUUUCAUGUAAAUGCAUGUCAGUUACGCUACUUUCUGUUGUCGCACACAGAAAGUCCUGGGCCUCUUUUCUGUUCUACUGAAACAUACGUUACCCAAGUAACACCAUCAGAGCUCCCUCCACCAUUGCUACUGUCUGCCUCAUGAUUUCUUACAUAUUACGUUAGCUUCCUGUUGUGUUUCUCUUUUCAUUUUGAAUUUGUGUAUUUAUAUUAAAUGCAGAUAAUCACUGUCACUCUUGGAGUCUAGCCACCCAACUAUUACCUUGCACGUCUUCUCAAUAAAUAUUCAUUAUUCACCCACUA